RNAcentral lists this ribosomal RNA (253 nucleotides) under uncultured bacterium. Its description in RNAcentral is "partial 16S ribosomal RNA". It matches the Rfam family "Bacterial small subunit ribosomal RNA", at positions 524 to 776 of the family's 1533-position model. The record is from RNAcentral.
UACGUAGGGUGCGAGCGUUGUCCGGAAUUACUGGGCGUACAGAGCUCGUAGGUGGUUUGUCGCGUUGUUCGUGAAAACUCACAACUCAAUUGUGGGCGUGCGGGCGAUACGGGCAGACUGGAGUACUGCAGGGGAGACUGGAAUUCCUGGUGUAGCGGUGGAAUGCGCAGAUAUCAGGAGGAACACCGGUGGCGAAGGCGGGUCUCUGGGCAGUAACUGACGCUGAGGAGCGAAAGCGUGGGGAGCGAACAGG